Molecule: ribosomal RNA, 930 nt
Filed under: Triticum aestivum (bread wheat)
Lineage: Eukaryota; Viridiplantae; Streptophyta; Magnoliopsida; Poales; Poaceae
Description: partial small subunit ribosomal RNA
Source: RNAcentral
AUGGCUCGACGCCGGCGACGGAAUUCGCCCUUGGAGACGCCCUCCAGCGCAGCAGGAGACAUUAGGACGGCCAUGCUGCUAUACCAAGCACCCUCUGGCAUCGCGGUUUUCUCGUUCGAUGUGAGCUACCUCAACGGUAUAUCCAAGGCCUUCUGGAAAUCCUUGCCAUCCCUUAGUCUCGAAGUAUUCAUAAAGUCUAAGAUGGUGCCCAGCCCCAUUGACUCUGCUAAUAAGUUUGUUGACAGUCUGCUGGCUGACAGUCUCAUUGAGCUGUGUCUGUGUGGUUCUGAAAAGACAUUAUUCGUGGGAAGUGCUGAACAUAAAAGAAUAAUUGAAGCGACACUGGGAAUAAUCUGUCUGUAUGUUGAUGUUCCGGACUGUGAGAUGAUAGUUUGCCAUCUGAAGGAUCACGUCCGUAAUUUGCUUAGUUUCCCGGAUGAUGCAUCGGCUAUGCUGCUACAUGAAGCACCCUCUGGCAUUGCAAUUUUCUCUUUUGAUGAGAGCUACCUCAACGGUCUAGCCAAGGACUUCUGGACAUGCUUGCCACCGCUUAGUCUGGUAGAAUUCAUGGCAUAUGAGAGGGUGCCCACCCCCAUUGACCUUGAUAAUGAGGCUAUUGACGAUCGCCUGGCUAAGAGGCUCAUGAAGCUGUGUGGUUCUGAGAAGAAAUUAGUUGUGGGAAGUGCUGCGCAUAAAAGGAUAAUUGAAAUGAAAGUGGAAAAAAUAACAUGUCUGUAUGUUGAUAUUCCGGAUUGUGAGGUGAUAAUUUGCAGUCUGAAGAAGCCCAUGGGCACUUUAUUGCCUCAUGAAGAAAAAGCAGACCCUAUGAAAAAUAUAAUAUCGUUCUUACAUCAACAUGACUUUGAUAUCCCGGGUGGGAAGGUUGAGGAAUCUUAUUAUGCACCGGCUCUUCGCUUGCAUGAAGUCUAA